GUGCUACAGCGGGGGCCGUGCAAAACAGUGGUUCAACCUGAGAAAAGUUACAGGGUUAGGAGAGCACCGGCCGCGACCCACCCGGCCCCGGGCGCGGGGCGGGCACUGAGGCUGCCCUGCUACGGGGGGACGCGCCCACUGCAGGCCCAGGGCCUGUCCCCUGGCCCUCUGGCCUUCCUCCGCCGGCCCGGCCCGGCGGCCCACCGCCCACAGCCGGCCUGCCCCAGCCCAGGCCUGAGCCCUGUCUUCUUCCUCGCUCGCGCAGUGGGAGCCUCGAAGAACCGGCUUCCGUGCAAUGGAAAGUUUCAAGUAGCCGCUUGAAAUUUAAAGAAAAAUUCUAAAACGUUAACGAAACUGGUAAAAUUAAUUUAACAAUAUAUUUUAAUUCAGUAUACCCAAAAGGACUUUUCAAUAUGCAAUGGAUGUGACAUGUGAACGAGGUAUUUGACGUUCUCCUACUAGGUCGUCAGUCCACUUCACACCAAGCACACUGAGGUUCAGAGGAAGCCCUUCCCGGCAGCGGGGGCGGUGGCUCCCAGGGCUGUGUCUGGCCACUGCCCGCCUGCCCUCAAGCACACCUCACUCAAGCUCAGAGCUUCCCUGGCUGCCAGGCCCGGAGCCCUGUGCCCUCCACAUCCUCAGAGCUGUGCUUCGUCCCCUCUUGCCACCCCUCAGUUCCUGGCAGACCCUUCGACCUGACGCGUUUCAAACCCCAGCUCUGGUAGUUGUCCUGUCCCAGCUUGGCGUCCUUCUGCCUUACUCCAAGGCACUGAACCAUCCGACCUCCUCAUCCCGUGAACAAGGCCACUGGGAACAGCUCCUCAGAAGGCAGGAAGGGCCAGGGAGCAGGCAUGUGGAACAGUGCUGGACUGAGCUCAAGUGUCUUCAGACACCCAGGAAGACAGCCUAGGAAGAUAACCCGGAAGUCCCUCUUCUUUUGUUCCCCAAGAGGAUGCUUCUUUCUGAAGCAAACUCCACAUUUCAACUGGUUAACAAAGGGAAGAGGGAUCCAUUUUUAUAUUUUUUGCUUUCUUCCUUAAGAUUUCUAACUGGUCCCCCAACCUUAUUCUGUAAGUAUGUGGUUUAUGCAACUGGAGCAAUUUGUGUUUUUAAAAGAAACAUCAUUAAUAGUUAAUAAAGCUUCCCAAG
This is a long non-coding RNA of Chinchilla lanigera (long-tailed chinchilla), 1149 nucleotides long. Lineage: Eukaryota; Metazoa; Chordata; Mammalia; Rodentia; Chinchillidae. The record is from Ensembl.